RNAcentral lists this ribosomal RNA (521 nucleotides) under uncultured Gammaproteobacteria bacterium. RNAcentral's name for it is "bacterial SSU rRNA". It matches the Rfam family "Bacterial small subunit ribosomal RNA", at positions 9 to 524 of the family's 1533-position model. Lineage: Bacteria; Pseudomonadati; Pseudomonadota; Gammaproteobacteria. The record is from RNAcentral.
GAGUUUGAUCUUGGCUCAGAUUGAACGCUGGCGGCAUGCCUAACACAUGCAAGUCGAACGGUAACGCGGGGGCAACCCUGCGACGAGUGGCGGACGGGUGAGUAAUACGUAGGAAUCUGCCCAUUAGUGGGGGACGAACCCGGCGAAAGCCGGGCGUAAUACCGCAUACGCUCUACGGAGGAAAACGGGGGAGUCGUAAGACCUCGUGCUAAUGGAUGAGCCUACGUCGGAUUAGCUAGUUGGUAGGGUAACGGCCUACCAAGGCGACGAUCCGUAGCUGGUCUGAGAGGACGAUCAGCCACACUGGGACUGAGACACGGCCCAGACUCCUACGGGAGGCAGCAGUGGGGAAUAUUGGACAAUGGGGGCAACCCUGAUCCAGCAAUGCCGCGUGUGUGAAGAAGGCCUGCGGGUUGUAAAGCACUUUCAGAGGGGAAGAAAAAGACGGAGCUAACACCUCCGUUCUUGACGUUACCCUUAGAAGAAGCACCGGCUAACUCCGUGCCAGCCGCCGCCGUAAC